GAUGAACGCUGGCGGCGUGCCUAAUACAUGCCAGUCGAGCGAACAGACGAGGAGCUUGCUCCUCUGACGUUAGCGGCGGACGGGUGAGUAACACGUGGAUAACCUACCUAUAAGACUGGGAUAACUUCGGGAAACCGGAGCUAAUACCGGAUAAUAUAUUGUACCGCAUGGUUCAAUAGUGAAAGACGGUUUUGCUGUCACUUAUAGAUGGAUCCGCGCCGCAUUAGCUAGUUGGUAAGGUAACGGCUUACCAAGGCAACGAUGCGUAGCCGACCUGAGAGGGUGAUCGGCCACACUGGAACUGAGACACGGUCCAGACUCCUACGGGAGGCAGCAGUAGGGAAUCUUCCGCAAUGGGCGAAAGCCUGACGGAGCAACGCCGCGUGAGUGAUGAAGGUCUUCGGAUCGUAAAACUCUGUUAUUAGGGAAGAACAAAUGUGUAAGUAACUAUGCACGUCUUGACGGUACCUAAUCAGAAAGCCACGGCUAACUACGUG
Molecule: ribosomal RNA, 497 nt
Filed under: uncultured bacterium
Lineage: Bacteria
Description: partial 16S ribosomal RNA
Rfam family: Bacterial small subunit ribosomal RNA
Source: RNAcentral